GCCCUCUCAGGGUAGCACCUGGAGAGUUUCCAGUACUCUACAGCCUUGGCUAUGGAAGGGAGAUUCAAGCAAAGGCCUAUCCAUUCCACUCCUAGCUUGGGCAGUGGCUAGUGAGUGGAAGGCAAUUUGCUACAAGU
Small nucleolar RNA from Tachyglossus aculeatus (Australian echidna), 137 nucleotides. The record is from RefSeq and is a predicted model, not a curated record. NCBI's taxonomy places the organism in Eukaryota, Metazoa, Chordata, Mammalia, Monotremata, Tachyglossidae.